Molecule: transfer RNA, 72 nt
Filed under: Marmota monax (woodchuck)
Lineage: Eukaryota; Metazoa; Chordata; Mammalia; Rodentia; Sciuridae
Description: tRNA.Ala
Rfam family: tRNA
About the family: Transfer RNA (tRNA) molecules are approximately 80 nucleotides in length. Their secondary structure includes four short double-helical elements and three loops (D, anti-codon, and T loops). Further hydrogen bonds mediate the characteristic L-shaped molecular structure. tRNAs have two regions of fundamental functional importance: the anti-codon, which is responsible for specific mRNA codon recognition, and the 3' end, to which the tRNAs corresponding amino acid is attached (by aminoacyl-tRNA synthetases). tRNAs cope with the degeneracy of the genetic code in two manners: having more than one tRNA (with a specific anti-codon) for a particular amino acid; and 'wobble' base-pairing, i.e. permitting non-standard base-pairing at the 3rd anti-codon position.
Source: RNAcentral
GGGAUGUGGCUCAGUGAUAGAGUGUUUGCUUGGCAAGCAGGAAGCCCUGGGUUCAGUCCCCAGUACCUCCCA